Molecule: ribosomal RNA, 479 nt
Filed under: uncultured Dehalococcoidia bacterium
Lineage: Bacteria; Bacillati; Chloroflexota; Dehalococcoidia
Description: bacterial SSU rRNA
Rfam family: Bacterial small subunit ribosomal RNA
Source: RNAcentral
GAGUUUGAUCCUGGCUCAGGAUAAACGCUGGCGGCGUGCCUUAUGCAUGCAAGUCGAACGGUAGCCGGCUUCGGCCGGUGAGAGUGGCGAACGGGUGAGUAACACGUAGGAACCUGCCCAGAAGUGGGGAAUAACCCCGCGAAAGCGGGGCUAAUACCGCAUGUGGUCUUCGGACUAAAGCUUUUGCGCUUCUGGAGGGGCCUGCGGCGGAUUAGCUUGUUGGUGGGGUAACGGCCUACCAAGGCGACGAUCCGUAGCUGGUCUGAGAGGAUGGUCAGCCACACUGGGACUGAGAUACGGCCCAGACUCCUACGGGAGGCAGCAGCAAGGAAUUUUGCGCAAUGGGCGAAAGCCUGACGCAGCAACGCCGCGUGGGGGAUGAAGGCUUUCGGGUUGUAAACCCCUUUUGCGAGGGAAGAAGAUCUGACGGUACCUCGCGAAUAAGCCACGGCUAACUACGUGCCAGCAGCCGCAGUAAU